CUAGCCCUGCCAAGGAAGGGCCUCAAAAACCUGAUUAAACUCAGAAUGCUGGCUCCAUGGAUAUCUUUAGUAAAAGGCAAAAGAUGUAUUUGAUCUGAAGAGAAACCACCAUAGGCCAUCUCCAUUCCACACCAGAGCAACUCAACUGCUCUUAUCCUCAUUUAGGUGCCCCCGCCACAAAGACUCUCUCUGGUAGGCACCUGUUACCUAUUGGCCUGGAAUGUUCUUCCAGUAGCACCUCUAUUUGGGGAGGGCAGCUGUCCACCCCGCAUACCAGAGGUCGGGGUGUGGAUGGAGCGUUGCGGAACUAAUCAAGGGCAGGUCCAAGGGUAAGGCUAGAGAAUUCCCGGCUCUCCAUCCUCCCAGCUGCAGAGGCAGUCCCACCUCCAAGGGGCCGAGAGGAUGCCCGGAACGGGACCCGGCCGAGGACUCAUUUAGAGGGGGGAUGCUCUUUAGCAACCAGUGCCUAACUCACAGCCCGGUGCUCAGCUGGCUCAGACGGUGCCCUACAAAGGAAUCUUCUCCACUCCUGCCCUCCCCCCAGGUGUGGCCCCCGGCUCCAGAUCCUUUCCCCACCAAGAAUGCCAGAAGCUUCAGCAAGCAAGGCCUUGGUCCCAAAUGCUCGGGAGGUCCCUGCAGCCACCAGACGCUCUUUCCCACCUACAGACACCCACGACUGAAGGUCCCCUAAGAGCGGCAGCCACAUCCAGGACGUCUGAAGCGGGGGUGGGGGUGGGGGGAUCUGGGACAAUCCUGCUCCGCCCUCCGACAGCUCCACGCACCAAAUCUAGGGGUCAACUCGACGGGACCCUGACGUCUUCCAGAAAUACACGUCUUCACUUCCCAGCAUGGCUGUGGUUGGGAAGGUGCAUGGGGGUGUGUGGUGUCUGUCCUGGGGAUGACACAAGUGGGGGGAGCUGGCCGCUCAAGCUCUGCAGGAGAGUGGGAGAGAAGGCAGUGACAGAGAGCGCCCGACUGGGGCGGGGGGCGAUCUCUUCCUACUUGAUAGGACUGUAGCAAAAUGGUAUUUCUGGAAUCUUCCCUACACACGUGCCUUUUUCUCUUCCCUGGAGUCCCAGCCACUGGCUGAGAGGCACGGGGUGGGCAGAUGGGAGAAGCCAGGGCAGAGCAGGCAAAGCCAGGAGGCUCGGCCCAUGACGGUCCAGGCGCCUCCAGGAGGAAGCUGAGCCCGUGGAGACCCAGGGGAUGGGGCAACACGGAACACGCAGAUGCUCCCUACUCCACGAGGAGCGGGGCGAAAUGCCCUCCACGUCCUCUCCGGCUCCAGCUCUGGAGUGUAGGGCCACGUCUGCUGUGUGUUCCUGUGUGUGUGUCGACACACACCUACUUAUACUCACAGCCUCACCACACAAAGUAACAAGCCUAAAGUGAUGCUGGGGAGGGUGGGGGCCUCUGUGCAGAUUUGAGAAUCGGAGCACUUGAAAUCCCAGCUCGACAGCUGUGUGACCUCGUGCAAGUGACUUAACCUCUCUGACCUCCAACCCUUACCUGCUGAUGGAGCUCAAACAGUGUUCACCUCUUUGAGGCAGCAGCGGGGCCCAAGCCCUCUCCACUCCAAGACUCUACUUAACACAGACCUACGGAACUAGGUUUAUCAGGUGGGAUGCAUUUUAAGUGCUUAUAUUUUAAGAAAAUUUGAUCCUUAAUAACAGAACCCGAGCUCACAGGAACGUCACUUUUCUGGUUUUGAUAGCCUGCAAUGGUUACCGGAGGUGUCAUUAGGGGAACCAAGGUGAAAGGUACACAGCAAUUUUCUGUACCAUUUUCACAGCUUCCUCUGAGUCAAACUCUUUCAAAACAACAAGUUGUUUUAAAAAUUAACAAACCCUCAGGUAUUACUACAUCUGUAACCUUAUGUGAAAGUGAGGUCAAAAAUCUCCAGUUGAUGUGUUAUGUCACGGCAAUACCCGGAAAAUUUACCCCGAUCCUCCCUAGCUUGUUUUUCUACACAAAGCCUUUGUCCCUAAGAGGAUCAAAUGAGGUAACAGGCACUCCGCUCUUAGCACAGCACCAGGCUCAGAGCCUCAAUGUUCAUUUUUAAUAGUUAUUAUUAUUCCUCAAAAUGGCCACAGAGGAGAUCAGAAUUCCAGUUGAAGGAUGGACAGAUCACAACACAGCCAAGGUGAAUAACGCUAUAGAUGUAAGCUUAGCGACAUCACCAAGGGUUCAUAAAAAUAGUAAGCGAAAAAAAGCAGCUUAUAAAUCACUACGAAGAGUUCCGCCCCACUCUCUGGAAAGACAGUGUGGCGAGGAGCUAAACGCACGGGCUAUGGACACAGAUCGCCUGGGUUCCAGCCUCAGCUUGGCUCCGCAUGUCUAUGCUCUCAAGCAAGGUCUUUACCAGCCGGGGCCUCAGCUUUCUCAUCUGUAUGAAAGGUUGAAUAAUAAAACCCAUCACUGGAUUUUGAGUGAUUACCUGAGUGCAUACAUGUAAAAUGCUGGCAAAGAGUAACACCCAAAUGUGAGCCACCACUGAUUAGACUGUAUUUCACAUUCAUUUAUACUCAUUAAGAAAGAGUCUGAGAGUUCCUGCUGUGGCGCAGCAGAAAUGAAUCCAACUAGGAACCAUGAGGUUGUGGGUUCAAUCCCCGGCCUCGCUCAGUGGGUUAAGGAUCUGGCAUUGCUGUGAGCUGUGGUGUAGGUCACAGAUGUGGCUUGGAUUCUGCGGGGCUGUGGCCGGCAGCUGUAGCUAUGAUUCGACGCCUGGUCCAGGAACCCCCAUGUGCCUCAAGUACGGCCCUAAAAAAAGAAAAAAGACAAAAAAAAGCAGUCUGGAAGAAGAUAUAAACACCCAAAAACAGCAGCAGCUAUCAUCCUGAAUGACAGAGUUCGUUUUUUGAAGUAAUAGGACCUUGCUGUUUAUUUUUUAUAUAGGACUGAAUGACAGGACUGCAAAUGACUCUGAUCUUCUUUUUGCUGAACUCUCAUUUUCCCCCAAUUACCAUGGGUUAAACACAAACCUCAAGUUCUUAUGAUAAAAAAUACUUGAAAAAAAAACCUUCAAAUACAUAUUGUUCCCGUAUAACACAUGGGAGCAAACAGGGAGAAAGAGUCUGUCACAAAAACGUCAAACAGUAAAUCCUACCCUCAUCUAAGGGAAGUUGCAGUUGGGUUAGUGUCUCCAAGUAGCUAGUUGGGCGCUCCCCGAGCCUGUGGCUCUCAAAAUUGCUGCAGGUCAAAAGCAUCAUGGAGACCUUUUUCUGUUUUUGCCAUUUCUAGGGCCGCUCCCGUAGCAUAUGGAGGUUCCCAGGCUAGGAGUCGAACUGGAGCUGUAGCCACCAGCCUACGCCGGAGCUACAGCAACACAGGAUCCGAGCGGCGUCUGCGACCUACACCACAGCUCACGGCAAUGCCGGAUCCCUCACCCACUGAGCAAGGCUGGGGAUCGAACUCGCAACCUCAUGAUUCCUAGUCAGAUUUGUCAACUACUGCGCCACGAUGGGAACUCCAUGGAGACCAUUUUUAACCACACCCGUAACCUCCCAUCCAAAUUACCUCGCACACACCCAUGUACCCGUUACCAAAGAGAAGAGAGUAUCGGUGCAGUUUGUGGAAAGCACCUUGGCAAAAGCGGCGACCAGAAGCGCAAAGAAGAUCAUUUGGAGGUUCCCCAGACUACCGCUGCAUUGCAGGUCCCCCCCACCAACCUCAGCAUCGACCAGUGCUCACCUGCCUGCCCACUCUGCCGCCACCUCCUUCCCUGGCACCGGCCCUAGGGGCCCUUAUGUGAAAGGACCACACUAAGCCAAGCCAGCAUCCAGAGGCGGCCGGGCAUCCUGCCCCACUUCCCCAACAGCAGGCAGGGGGGGCAGUCUCACUGCCCUGGACCCAGGGGCUCCUGCCUCCCUCCACGGGCAGGGCCCCAGGCGAGCCGCUGCUGGAGAGCUGCCCCUGGUCCACUCGGCGUCAUUACAUGAAAAUAAAACCUCAGCCUGUUCUGGGCUUGCCCAGCCCAUUACGGGGAGGAAGUUAUAAAAGCUGCCAAACAUGGGUUACCUCAAGGGUGCUCCUCCUCAAACACGCCGGAGAGGCGCUGCCUUUCCCCUUCUCCCCGCCUUCCACCUUUUGGGUAAAGGCUUUCUUCUGUGUCCUGUGUAUUGACACCCCGGGCUCUUGGCUGUUCCAGCUGCACAAGCGCCACGCUCCUCCUGCCUUGCAAACAGCCCCCGUUCCGACCCACCGCCCGGAACGCCUCCUUCCAGACCGCACAGCCCACUGGCUUCUCAAAGUCUGGCUCGGAAACCAAAUAAAAAGCUUUUCCUUUACACUCCCGUUUAUGUGCAGCAGCUCCGAAGCUUUAUUCUCACGCCUUACACUGCUGCCACCUGCAUAAAUUCGCUCUAAGUGCCACUUCUCCAUUUGUGGAUUAUGAAGGGCUGAGGGACAGCCCCACGGGAUGCCAUAGGCCGGCAGGGAAGCCAAGUGGCCCUGUCGGGACCCAGAAGGGCAAGCAACCCCGAGACCCUGGGCCGGGCACACACCAGCCCUGGGAAGGGCAGAAACCACAGCUUCUUCCAGCUCUGCCAUCAAAGCACCGCCCCACCCCCCCAUGGUCCUGCCUUCCAACCUCAGCUCAGCAGGCUCCUAGGUGUGUAUCCUUGAGAUUUGGGGAAGCCUCGGAGGCUAUUUCCUUAUCUAGAGAAUGGGGACAACACCCAGGGGUGGGGCUCCUGUGAUGAGAGAACGGGAUGAUGAAAUGCUUGAUAUUCUUACCAUGGUGUCUGGGGUGUGAGAGCCCCACUGCCCCCAGACACAGCGCCCAUCAGCCGUCAAAUUCACCUGUACGUCUAUGACGCACGGACUGCAUGCCAGGUGCCGGGGAGGAGCCAAAUCGACAGGGUCCCUGAGCUCAAGGGCUCCUGGGGCGGGGGGUUCCUAGCUCCGUGGGUGACCACUACAAUGGCUGUGCACACACCCAGCACAGAUGGGGGAAGGACACCUAAACCUGCUGGAAGAUCUGCCAAUAAUGCCUAUUUAUAACAUCUGGUAGCUUCCACUUUGGCCUCAUUUCCCAUCCGCCCCUCCCCCAACACCUGCAGGCCUUCCCACCCAACUGGGUCCAGCCCCACCUCGAGACCUCUGCCUGGAACACACGCCCCUAACAUUUUCUUCCUUGUCCCCCCUCACUAGACUAGGGGCUUUGCUCAUCUGUCACCUUCCUGGUCACCCCAAAAGACCUCUGUCCCCUUAGGCUGCUUUAUUGUUCUGCACGCCCCAACAGUUCAUUCAAAUUGAUUUGCUUAUGUGGUUACUGGAUCCAUCUUCCCCACUAGAAUGUGACCUUCGUAAAGGUUGAGGACUCUGUUUUGUUCAUCACUGUGACCUCUGACCCCCAAACCCUGCCCGAAUCAACCAAUGAAUGAGGCGCAGUUAGAAGCCGGGGACUCCCCGCGUGGGAGCGACGAGGCUCCGAGUGUUAUGGGUGUCAGCAUUUCAACCUCACAUCCUGCGGGCCACUCCGGAUGGACCAUCACCAGGAAGAGGGGGACUGGACCACUCUGGAGCUGCUGUUCCCAGCCUGGGUCCCGCAUCAUCCUCCCGAGCUUCAGUGGCUGCAUUUCCAAUAAACGGCUCCCAGGGACACACCCCAAGACAAUCAAGUGAAGCCCAAUAUCUCCCCCAUGUCUGGGAGGCUGGCCCCCCACGUCUACGCUCCUAAGGAUCCCAACCUGCUCAGCAAGCCCUCCAUAACCCCGGCAGCCAGUGUUUGUUGGAUGCUCACAGACAGGCAGUCUCUCGUGCCCUAUUUUAGGGGGAGAACCAGGAGUUCCCACUGUGGUGCAGCAGAAGUGACUAAGAACCAUGCAGUGGCGGGUUGGUCCCCUGGCCUCCAUCAGUGGGUUAAGGAUCCAGCGUGGCUGCAGCUGUGGCGGAGGCCAACAGCUGUAGCUCCAAUUCAACCCCUAGCUUGGGAACCUCCAUGUGCCAUGGGUAUAGCCCUAAAAAAAAAAAAAA
This 5976-nucleotide long non-coding RNA is filed under the name Sus scrofa (pig). RNAcentral's name for it is "lncRNA (ENSSSCG00040039167.1)". The record is from RNAcentral. Lineage: Eukaryota; Metazoa; Chordata; Mammalia; Artiodactyla; Suidae.